UACGUAGGGGGCAAGCGUUGUCCGGAGUUACUGGGCGUAAAGCGCACGCAGGCGGUCUUUUAAGUUUGGAGUGACAGUUGGUGGCUUAACUGCCAAAGUGCUUCGAAACUGACAGACUUGAGGGCUUCAGAGGGACACGGAAUUCCGGGUGGAGUGGUGAAAUGCGUAGAGAUCCGGAGGAACACCAAAGGCGAAGGCAGUGUCCUGGGGAGUACCUGACGCUCAGGUGCGAAAGCCAGGGAGCGAACGGG
This 251-nucleotide ribosomal RNA is filed under the name uncultured bacterium. RNAcentral's name for it is "partial 16S ribosomal RNA". It matches the Rfam family "Bacterial small subunit ribosomal RNA", at positions 524 to 776 of the family's 1533-position model. The record is from RNAcentral.